CAUCAGUCAAUUUUAUGAUAAAGGAUACAAAGUCAUUUUUGAAUCUUUAGUUUGCAUUGUAACUAGUCCUAUUAAUGAAGGUAUUAAAUUUGUUGGGCAUAGAUAUGGUAAUGUUUAUAUGGUAGAUUUGAAUGAUCUUUUCAAAAUAAACAUGCAAUGCCUAGUAGCCUUGAAUGUCAAGAUUAAUGAGACUAGUUGGC
This 200-nucleotide long non-coding RNA is filed under the name Elaeis guineensis (African oil palm). Its description in RNAcentral is "long non-coding RNA (EGUI_LNC076216)". Lineage: Eukaryota; Viridiplantae; Streptophyta; Magnoliopsida; Arecales; Arecaceae. The record is from RNAcentral.